CGGAGGUGGCAAGCGCUACUCGGAAUUAUUGGGUGUAAAGGGCAAGUAGGUGGCUUAGUAAGUGAGAGGUGAAAUACUCCGGCUCAAUCGGAGAACUGCCUUUCAUACUGCUUUGCUUGAGGAUGGUAGGGGUAAGGGAAUUCCCGGUGUAAGGGUGAAAUCUGUAGAUAUCGGGAAGAACACCAGCGGCGAAGGCGCUUACCUGGACCAUUCCUGACACUGAAUUGCGAAAGCUAGGGGAGCAAACAGAAUUAGAUACUCUGGUAGUCCUAGCCGUAAACGAUGAGCACUAGGUGUUGGCUCCGUUAGGAGUCAGUGCCGCAGCUAACGCAUUAAGUGCUCCACCUGAGGACUACGGUCGCAAGGCUA
Molecule: ribosomal RNA, 369 nt
Filed under: uncultured organism
Description: bacterial SSU rRNA
Rfam family: Bacterial small subunit ribosomal RNA
Source: RNAcentral